This 435-nucleotide ribosomal RNA is filed under the name uncultured organism. Its description in RNAcentral is "bacterial SSU rRNA". It matches the Rfam family "Bacterial small subunit ribosomal RNA", at positions 29 to 507 of the family's 1533-position model. The record is from RNAcentral.
AACGAACGCUGGCGGCAGGCUUAACACAUGCAAGUCGAACGGGUGCAGCGAUGCAUCAGUGGCAGACGGGUGAGUAACACGUGGGAACCUUCCUUGGGGUACGGAACAACUUGGGGAAACUCGAGCUAAUACCGUAUACGUCCGUGAGGAGAAAGAUUUAUCGCCCUGAGACGGGCCCGCGUCGGAUUAGCUAGUUGGUGGGGUAACGGCCUACCAAGGCGACGAUCCGUAGCUGAUCUUAGAGGAUGAUCAGCCACACUGGGACUGAGACACGGCCCAGACUCCUACGGGAGGCAGCAGUGGGGAAUCUUGGACAAUGGGGGCAACCCUGAUCCAGCCAUGCCGCGUGAGUGAAGAAGGUCUUCGGAUUGUAAAGCUCUUUUGCCAGGGACGAUAAUGACGGUACCUGGAGAAUAAGCCCCGGCAAACUUCGUG